UGGGGAAUUGUUCGCAAUGGGCGCAAGCCUGACGACGCAACGCCGCGUGGAGGAUGAAGACCUUCGGGUCGUAAACUCCUGUCGAGCGGGACGAAUGAGCCGCGGGGAAAUACUCCGCGGAGGUGACGGUACCGCUAAAGGAAGCCCCGGCUAACUCCGUGCCAGCAGCCGCGGUAAUACGGGGGGGGCAAGCGUUGUUCGGAAUUACUGGGCGUAAAGGGCUCGUAGGCUGCCAACUAAGUCAGACGUGAAAUCCCUCGGCUUAACCGGGGAACUGCGUCUGAUACUGGAUGGCUUGAAUCCGGGAGAGGGAUGCGGAAUUCCAGGUGUAGCGGUGAAAUGCGUAGAUAUCUGGAGGAACACCGGUGGCGAAGGCGGCAUCCUGGACCGGUAUUGACGCUGAGGAGCGAAAAGCCAGGGGAGCAAACGGGAUUAGAUACCCCGGUAGUCCUGGCCCUAAACGAUGAAUGCUUGGUGUGGCGGGUAUCGAUCCCUGCCGUGCCGAAGCUAACGCAUUAAG
Molecule: ribosomal RNA, 520 nt
Filed under: uncultured Acidobacteriota bacterium
Lineage: Bacteria; Pseudomonadati; Acidobacteriota
Description: bacterial SSU rRNA
Rfam family: Bacterial small subunit ribosomal RNA
Source: RNAcentral